RNAcentral lists this transfer RNA (71 nucleotides) under Candidatus Staskawiczbacteria bacterium RIFOXYB1_FULL_37_44. RNAcentral's name for it is "tRNA-Lys". It matches the Rfam family "tRNA". Rfam says of the family: Transfer RNA (tRNA) molecules are approximately 80 nucleotides in length. Their secondary structure includes four short double-helical elements and three loops (D, anti-codon, and T loops). The record is from RNAcentral. RNAcentral also lists the same sequence under 4 other names. Lineage: Bacteria; Candidatus Staskawicziibacteriota.
GCCUCCAUAGCUUAAUGGUAAAGCUACCGACUCUUAAUCGGCUGUUCUGGGUUCGAUUCCCAGUGGGGGCA